This 519-nucleotide unclassified non-coding RNA is filed under the name uncultured Glomeromycotina. Its description in RNAcentral is "SSU rRNA". It matches the Rfam family "Eukaryotic small subunit ribosomal RNA", at positions 571 to 1092 of the family's 1831-position model. The record is from RNAcentral. Lineage: Eukaryota; Fungi; Glomeromycota.
CAGCCGCGUAAUUCCAGCUCCAAUAGCGUAUAUUAAAGUUGUUGCAGUUAAAAAGCUCGUAGUUGAAUUUCGGGAUCGACGGGUCGGUCGCGCCUCUGGUGUGUACUGGCCCUGUCGGUUUCUCCCUUCUGACGAACCACGAUGUCAUUAAUUUGGUGUCGUGGGAAAUCAGGACUGUUACUUUGAAAAAAUUAGAGUGUUUAAAGCAGGCAUUCGCUUGAAUACAUUAGCAUGGAAUAAUGAAAUAGGACGUUUGAUCUUAUUUUGUUGGUUUCUAAGAUCGACGUAAUGAUUAAUAGGGAUAGUUGGGGGCAUUAGUAUUCAAUUGUCAGAGGUGAAAUUCUUGGAUUUAUUGAAGACUAACUACUGCGAAAGCAUUUGCCAAGGAUGUUUUCAUUAAUCAAGAACGAAAGUUAGGGGAUCGAAGACGAUCAGAUACCGUCGUAGUCUUAACCAUAAACUAUGCCGACUAGGGAUCGGAUGAUGUUAAUUUUUUAAUGACUCAUUCGGCGCCUUACG